Pezoporus occidentalis (night parrot) is the source of this 2366-nucleotide long non-coding RNA. RefSeq lists it as uncharacterized. The transcript is spliced from 2 exons. NCBI's taxonomy places the organism in Eukaryota, Metazoa, Chordata, Aves, Psittaciformes, Psittacidae. The record is from RefSeq and is a predicted model, not a curated record.
GCUCCUUGGCUGUGUUGUCCAGGCUUUGCCCUACUCGGAAUUAACUGUGUUUUGGAAAAGUAGGAGCCAGCUAAAACGCCUGUGUAUUUGUCCAUUAUUUUUCCACUUUCCAUGGUUGGGGUUUUGGAAGGUUUGCUUUUUUGAUUGUUUGUUUGUUGUUUUUAACUCACAUAAUGGACUUCAGAACUGAGGGCAAGGAGGAGCUCAGGCUUGAACCAGCCUCUGGGCUCUGGUGGAGAUGCUGUUUGCUGUGCGCAGAGCAGGGACUGCGCUGGCCUGGGGUAUGGUGCAGCACAGGCACGGAAGGGGUGUCCCCUCGGAGCCUCCUGCAGGAUUAGCACCCACAGCCCAAAUGUGAAGGCGCCUUGUGCUGUGUGUAGUCACACACUUGCUCAGACACCUUGAAAAUGAGUUUGCGUUAGCAGAACUUAACAAGGGGAAAGUAAGAAUUUGCCAGGCUGCUUCAUGACGCACAGAGGGCUCCUUUUCCUCCUUCCCCCCCUCUCUCUGGUAUGAGGUUUCUGCUCUGCUGCGGAGCAUGAGAGCUGAAACCCAGGAGCCCCCAGCUGAUGGAAUAAACACCCAGCAAAUGCCUACCCCAGUGAGUCUGGUGACAGAGCAGUGGAAGCUAGCAACAGGUUUCACAGAGUCUUAAGUAGCAAGUCAGCUGACAAAGUAGCUUGUUCCCAAGAAAGGUUAUGGUGACAGGCCCUAAAAAUGAAUAUCUGCAAUAAGAGUGCUUGUAAUCUGAUAACUCUGUCUUUGCCCUUGUUUAGAAAAGGACAAGUGGUGGUGUACUCUCAAUAUGGCAAUAUGAAAUUCCUAGUUCACAGAUAGAUUAUAUUUAUCCUGAAGGAAAUUGAGUGAGGUUGUUUUGUUUUGUUUUGUAUCCCCGGGAAAAAAAACAAGAGGCAGCUUAAAUUCAGUAUAAUCAUUCUUCUUGGCUUUGCUGUUGUAACAUGAAAAGCAGUUGACAGUUGUCAUGAAAGUCGUGGCAAAGGCAACUGCCACAGUUCAGGCACUCGGUGUGACUUUGGCAGUGACUUUAGGAGUCUCCCCUAGUGAUGAAGUGACUUGUGAAUGGCAGGUUAUCUGUGUGAGAGGUCUGAGUAGAAGAGGGACUGUGCUAAGAGGUAGAAUAAGAAGCUGUUAUGUGUAAACUCCAACCCUUAGUAUUGUGGGCAGGGUAGGGGAAAAAAACCCAACAAAGUAAUGGCUGUGAGGCCAGGAGGGGAAAAGGCCAUGAUGGGGACAAUGGGGAAAAGAUGCAAACACUCAAAACCAUUUUACAUUUAUUAACUUGCUGUAGAAAUCAUUCAGUGCACCAAAAGAGAACAAUUUCAUGAAGAAGGAGUUGUAAAAUUUGUGUAUAAUCUCAGAUGCCCAGUUAGCUGCAGCAGAAAUCAUUAAACUGUGAGCUCAAAAAAGAGCACAAAAUAUCCCAGAGCAGCAGCAGCAUGCAACUGGACUACACAGAGCUUAUGAUAAGCUGCUGUGACUCGAUGGGUAACGCAGGUGAGACUGGUUUACUUGGACAACCCUUUCUAGCCCCACUGUUGUUGAAACACAGAAGCCACCCUCAUGAAAAACUGCACGAAUUUAAACAAGAUGCACGCCAGUAACGCUGGUGGUGUUACAACCAGUCCAUACCUUGUUACUGGAUGUGAUGUUGAAAAUGAAAACAAUGCUGAAGGAAGGUUGUAGCUGAAGGGUUACACCUACAGGCCAUUCAGCUGAAACGGGGUGUUUCAAGUUCUUAAGGGGGCAGGGAAGAUGAGUUGUGGGAGCUGGAAGAAGUUCCAACAGUAAAAGCAAUGAAGUUGAACAGAGCAACAGAGGUGGUGUGAGGUGUUAAAUAAAACCCAAAACCAACACCUAACUAACAAAACCCCCCAACCUGACAUUCAGUAAGAAAGUCUAAGCUAACAACACAGAUUAACUCGAGGCAAAUACCAGUGGAAAAACAUUUAAUACUUAUGUAUACAUAUUGCAGGAAAGCAAUUAAAAACAUCUUUUUCAUAUGCAAUGUAAUGUAAAGUGUAAACUAUGGAAAUGCACUAUAUUUACCCUCUCAAAAAACCCUAACUUGGUAUUCUUGAACUAUUUGGACUAGGAGCUAAAUGCUGGUACUUGUAAAUAGAAGUGGUAAAUCUUACAGUAGUGCAAACCGACGCUAACAUACACUGUACUCAUAAUAUAAAUAAACUAUACUAAUUGUAGGGUGAAACCAUGCUAAGAGUACCCUCUUACAGAAUUGUAAAAUACAUUACUACUACUAAUGUAACUCGAAGACUUUUCAAUAAGGGCUGCUUACAAUCUAUGUCUUGCCUAUGGCUUUGAAAAAUAAAAUCUCUUUAACUAUCCUA